AGGGACUCAGGGAGCAGCCAAAUCUUGCGUUCUUGAGCUCGAUCAGUUCUUCAUCAAACUCUUUGAUCUACCCGCAUUAAUUCGUUCAGGUAUUUAAUUUAAUUUGAUCAAAAUUGUAUUUAUGUAUUUCCCAAAAAAUCAGCAAGACUGAACCAAGUAUUUACCAAAUAUUCCUCAUUUAUGAGAAUGAACAUGGAUACAGUAUAGUUGUGAUUUUGCUUAUGAAAAUAGUGUCCUGCCGUUAUUGGUAUUAUUCAUGAAC
Molecule: long non-coding RNA, 262 nt
Filed under: Panax ginseng (ginseng)
Lineage: Eukaryota; Viridiplantae; Streptophyta; Magnoliopsida; Apiales; Araliaceae
Description: long non-coding RNA (PGIN_LNC003608)
Source: RNAcentral